AGAUUCUCCUGUCUCAGCCUCCGGAGUAGCUGGGAUUACAGAUGUGUCUUAGGUAACAGAGCAUGGGACAGAGCCACUGCAGCCAUGCCCAGGGAGGGCCGGGGUGAGUAAGCAUUGUGAGGUUUUGGGCAGAACGUGGCUGCACUGUGCACGCGGUGAGGGAUCGAAGGGGGCCCCCAAAGACACUCGAAGAACAGUGGGGGCCCUGAAAAGUGCCAAUGCUGAGCCCAGACAGAUGGAAGACCUUGGACAAAUUCCCCGACACCCCUGAGCCUCGAUUUCCUCAUCUGAAAAGUGGGGUGGUGAUGACAGCACAUCUCAGAGGGCUGGGAGGACGAAGCCACCAAGUGACAGCUGCGAUGGAUCCACAGGGGCAGCAGCCGAGCAACCCGAGAUCUGCAGAGCCAUGGUGGGCCCAGCCCCAUCCUGCCCCCCAUGCAGCCAGUGAGAAGCCCUGCUGCUGGAGGGGAUGGAGCUACGGGGACCGAUCAAUUACACCACAGUGUGAGGUCUCUGUGCCUUCCAAACUC
This is a long non-coding RNA of Homo sapiens (human), 530 nucleotides long. RefSeq lists it as uncharacterized. The transcript has 3 exons. The record is from RefSeq and is a predicted model, not a curated record. NCBI's taxonomy places the organism in Eukaryota, Metazoa, Chordata, Mammalia, Primates, Hominidae.